RNAcentral lists this unclassified non-coding RNA (226 nucleotides) under plant metagenome. RNAcentral describes it as "partial contains small subunit ribosomal RNA and internal transcribed spacer 1". The stretch from base 1 to 47 matches the Rfam family "Eukaryotic small subunit ribosomal RNA", at positions 1785 to 1831 of the family's 1831-position model. The record is from RNAcentral.
AAAGUCGUAACAAGGUUUCCGUAGGUGAACCUGCGGAAGGAUCAUUAAAAGAGUUAGGGUCCUAGUGGCCCAACCUCCAACCCUCUGUUGUUAAAACUACCUUGUUGCUUUGGCGGGACCGUUCGGUCCCCGAGGCGUUAACCUUCGGGUUGGGAGCGCCCGCCAGAGUCCGACCAAACUCUUGUAUUAAACCAGUCGUCUAGUAUAAAAUUUUAAUUAAUUAAAA